RNAcentral lists this ribosomal RNA (710 nucleotides) under Roseovarius sp. RNAcentral's name for it is "bacterial SSU rRNA". It matches the Rfam family "Bacterial small subunit ribosomal RNA", at positions 35 to 795 of the family's 1533-position model. The record is from RNAcentral. Lineage: Bacteria; Pseudomonadati; Pseudomonadota; Alphaproteobacteria; Rhodobacterales; Roseobacteraceae.
GCCAGGCGGCAGCUACACAUGCAGUCGAGCGAGAACUUCGGUUCUAGCGGCGGACGGGUUAGUAACGCGUGGGAACGUGCCCUUCACUACGGAAUAGUCCCGGGAAACUGGGUUUAAUACCGUAUACGCCCUUCGGGGGAAAGAAUUUCGGUGAAGGAUCGGCCCGCGUUAGAUUAGAUAGUUGGUGGGGUAACGGCCUACCAAGUCUACGAUCUAUAGCUGGUUUUAGAGGAUGAUCAGCAACACUGGGACUGAGACACGGCCCAGACUCCUACGGGAGGCAGCAGUGGGGAAUCUUAGACAAUGGGCGCAAGCCUGAUCUAGCCAUGCCGCGUGAGUGAUGAAGGCCUUAGGGUCGUAAAGCUCUUUCGCCAGGGAUGAUAAUGACAGUACCUGGUAAAGAAACCCCGGCUAACUCCGUGCCAGCAGCCGCGGUAAUACGGAGGGGGUUAGCGUUGUUCGGAAUUACUGGGCGUAAAGCGCGCGUAGGCGGAUUGGAAAGUUGGGGGUGAAAUCCCAGGGCUCAACCCUGGAACUGCCUCCAAAACUAUCAGUCUAGAGUUCGAGAGAGGUGAGUGGAACUCCGAGUGUAGAGGUGAAAUUCGUAGAUAUUCGGAAGAACACCAGUGGCGAAGGCGGCUCACUGGCUCGAUACUGACGCUGAGGUGCGAAAGUGUGGGGAGCAAACAGGAUUAGAUACCCUGGUAGUC